AAGACAUGCAAGUCGCACGGAGGUAGCAAUACCUUAGUGGCGAACGGGUGAGUAAUGUAUCGCUAAUGUACCCCGGACUCUGGGAUAGCCAGCCGAAAGGUUGGGUAAUACCAGAUGAUAUAUCCCGAUAGCAUUAUCGGGAUCUCAAAGGUCCGCCGGUCUGGGAGCAGGCGAUAUCGUAUCAGCUAGUUGGUGAGGUAACCGCUCACCAAGGCGACCACCCGUUACCCGACUGAGAGGUUGGCCCGGCACAUUUUGGACUGAGACACUGCCCAGACUCCCUACGGGAGGCAGCAAUGGGAUCU
This 305-nucleotide small RNA is filed under the name uncultured bacterium. Its description in RNAcentral is "bacterial SSU rRNA". It matches the Rfam family "Bacterial small subunit ribosomal RNA", at positions 50 to 358 of the family's 1533-position model. The record is from RNAcentral.